RNAcentral lists this long non-coding RNA (486 nucleotides) under Apteryx owenii (little spotted kiwi). RNAcentral's name for it is "lncRNA (ENSAOWG00000013890.1)". The record is from RNAcentral. Lineage: Eukaryota; Metazoa; Chordata; Aves; Apterygiformes; Apterygidae.
CCACCCCUCGUCUCCUCAACCGCCGCUGUAUCUCGCCAUCGCAUUGGCUAGCCUCUGAACCUUUCACCUUUUACCCGGCUUUCGCCGCCAAUCGCCUGGCUCCUUUCAUGCUGUGGGGAUGUGGAGCGUGUGAGCUGCGCAGGGUGUCAUUCUCGGAGCGGGCUUGCGUUGCGGGCGUUGGGCGGCCCCUGUUGGUUACCUAGGGUGAAACAAAAUUACAGGAUUGGAAACUCUGGAAAAGCUCAGCAUCAGCAUUUGAGAGCCAAAGCUUGCAAAUUAUGUGAUUAAUCUACAAGCUGAUAUCAUGAUGUCAAAAUGCAGUUCGGGAAGCAUAAAUACAGAAGUUGCAGAAAUUAAAACGAAGCUUAGGAGGAACAUGCCAGAAAUUUCGGUCGUUUACUGUACCAUGCUCACAGAAGUCUUUCAGAAGCAGAUCAUUCAAACAGAGAACCUCAAUUAAGCUGUGCUGGAACAAAAAUGCAAUGA